CCUGAUAGCCCUCAAUGUCUACGUGUAUUUAAAAUUGAGAGGUGGGCAAUGACGCCAGGGGUGAGGUGUACACCCUGAUGGUAAUUUGGAGUCCGUGUUGUGAGCCCACCCCCAAGAUCCUAUAUGUAUGUGUUAUGAGAGUGUGAGUAAUGUGAAUGUCUAAGUUGUGAGAUAAAAUUGAGGCAGAGGCAGCCAGAAGGGGACAGAGGGGGGGGAUGCCUCCUCUGCACCCUGGUGGAUAAUUGUAAAAAGUAGUCUGAUUUACGCUUAAGGUUUGCUCAAAUUCAGUAUAAUGAUAUAUGAGUUGAAGAAAAUAAGGAAAAUACCUAAUCUAAUCAAGUGCAUAGAGACACUUGACCUGCUUGUAAACCUGUCAUCCUAGAUGAGACUUUAUUGAGAUGGAGAGCAAACCUGUACUAACAACUAAUAAGCCAAACCCGGUAUACAACAGCUAAAGCUACAGGUUUGAGAAGCUGAAUUACAUAUGUGGACACUACUAAGCUAAUGAGCAAGCUACACAGCAAGUUUUUUUUCAUUUGUUUUUCAGAGCAGAAGCUGAAUGAUAUUAAAAGCUCACACAUGCAGCUGUGAGCUCAGAUUUUUCCCUCACAUUUCUGCUUUGUUACUGGCAGCAACUUUUUUCUUUUUGCGUCCUGACUCGUGUGUAAAGCCUUAAUGACAUCGGCAAUUUGUUUUUGUUUUUGUUUGUUUGUUUUGUUGGUUUGAAAAAUAACUUUGUGAUCAUACUUGUGGAUCACAGUGACACAUAAUGAUUAGGCAUAUGAUUUACUAAUGUCUAGUUUUAAAGCUGUGAGCAAUGCAUCCACAUAGAGAUUAGAAGCCUGGUGCAUGAUGUAUAUGAAGCUGCUAUAGGGAGAAUGGAACCUUGUGGGAAGCGUUUACAUAAAGAAGUUUUAAAAAAAAAGGCAAAGAAAAAAAAGAAACAAAACAAAAACAAAUCCUAACUUAGCAGUUUGAAAUAUGUGAGAUGUGUGAGUUCUUUGAGAAAAUAGAAAUGACCUAAAUGCCUUAAGUCAAAAUGUAGUCUUGCACCUGAAAAGAAAUAAAACAGAAGAAGCAUUCAGUAACUUGAAACUAGCAUUACAGAUGAAUAUAGUUUACUUAGUGACUUCAAUUUUAAUCUAAGCCCAUUUGUCUUACCUCACACAUGCGAGACAGCUCUAAAAUGAUGGAAUCUUAUUGUCGUAAUCACAGAUUAGAAUUGAUAAAUGAUGUCAGUUGAACCUGAGCACACCUUUGGCCUCACCCGAAGAAGGUCAUCUACACUGCUGUGUAACAAAACUAGAUGAGGAGACAAAGCCGCGAGCUGACAUUUACUGUACACCACAAGCUGGUUCCACUGACGUUUUGUAGACGACUCAGCGUCUAAAAGUAGCCAUCGGCUAUGCAGUAACUACAACAGACAGAGUUGCGGAAGCGAAACCGUUGACAUCCUCACACACGCAGGCCAAGAUAUAAAUAUAUAUACUGACAGUCAGUAUGUUUUUUCAGCAGCAUCACUUUGAAAAAUUUGGCAGAACAGAGGAGUGAUUACAUCUAUUGGACAUCCAGUACAGCAUGCAAAUCUUCUGAAAACACUAUUAGGAGUGAUUACAUUGCCAAAACAGUUAGCAUUGUGUAAAUGUGCUGCGCAUCAGAAAGAUGAAUCAGAAAUAACUAAAGGUAACAACUUUGCAGAUCAGGUAGCUAAGUUAGCCGAACAACAAACUGUAGACGCAUUAAUGUCUGCAUCCAUUAUGCAAAUAUGAACAAAGAGCAGCGCCAACUACAGAACAGAAGACAUGGUUAAAGUGUGGAGCACGACUAUAAUAUGAUUUGAUGUUGUGAAGGUAAACCGAUACUCCCCAAGUCCCUGUGCAGAACAGCAGCAUUAGUGACACAUGGGGUGACCCAUGUGUCCUCAGGGCGGAUAGUCCAGGUCCUUAAUACACACUUUUAUACUCUAGUGAUUAUAGAUUUCUUCACAAAAUGGCCAGAGAUUUAUCUAGUGUAAAAAGCAGAUGCAAUCUCAGUUGCAAAAAGUGACCCUUAGAAAAAUCUGUCGGAGAGACAGCUCUGGCAAAACUACUAGAAAAUAAGGAUAUUGUUUUGAACAAUAAACUGCCGUAAGACUCUCCAGUCUCUUGCAGGUUGAAACCAAGUGCUAUUGACAACACCCAUAGCCUGUAAAAUUGCAGAGAGACCAUCUUGGAUACAUCAGAGCCACUGCAAAAAGGUUGAGGUCCCGGGAAGCCCCGACACUAAGGAGGAAGCGCCUAUGCCUGGUUGUUUCGGGGGUGAGGGUGGUAAGUGCGAUUCUGGGGCCCCCGUGGGGUAAGCCCGCACUCCGCUCUCUAUCCGAUCAACUUUAGGCAGCCAGGUGUAGGUGUGAAGGGGAACCCUGGUGGUUACCUUGACUACAAGGCUCACCCUUACAGGACCCCAGCUGAUGCCAACAGCAGCCGAGCCACGAGAAAGAGAAGAUGGACGUAUGACAACUUAUACCUAAUGGACAUGAUACAAGAUCACAUCCAUCUAUGGAUGAAAAAUGCCUGAUACAGAUAUGUGUUUAACAAAACCACAGAGAAAGACUGUUACGUCUGCUCGCACAUGCCGAGCACAUUAACACAACCAUAUAUGGGAAACACCCUGGGACAGGUGCACUAAUUCUGAUCUCCGACCACCUUCAGAGUGACUUUUGUAAAGUGCACAACAACAACAUCGUCAUCCUGAUCCAGGAAGAAACGCUCAACUUCAACAGUCAGACCACAUGACUCAACCUGGGAAACCGAUGUACCUGAUAAAUUCAAACUUUGGACAAUUGGACAAAAGGUACUCAACUCACUCUUCCUGUGGGCAGGAGUUGGAAAACAUGCUCUCAGAAGUGAGAUAAUGGACUAUGGAUUCGGCUUGUUUCUCAAAGCAUCCUGCAAGGUCAACGAGGGACAACAUCAAGAAAUAGACGCUCUCAGAAUUGCUGUAAUGCAACAUUGUGUAGCACUGCACAUGAUCCUGGAGAGAGGAGGAUUGUGUGUCUUAUUCAACACCACAUGCUGCACCUACGUACCAGAUGUAAUGUACAUUCUUUAAACAUGGCUUCAGAUGCUAUAGAGACUGUUGAUCGUCGUUGGACUUUUCCUGAUUUUAUUUUGUUUUCUCUAUUUGAGUUAUUCCUUGUUUAGAAGCUGUAAUUUCACAGAUGAUGAGUUUAUCAUUCACAGCAUACGCAGAUGUACUGAAAUCAAUGAAGAUCAUGAAGAUGAAGAGUAACAAAUGAUGUACUAACUGAGAAUGUGAAAGACAAGUAGUUACUUAUUGUACAUUUCAUUUCGCUGAUAAACAGGGCCGGAUGUCAGAAGAAAAUUAUGUUUUGAUCAGUUACAUGAAAUGUAUUUUUUAUGUUUAUCAGUGAAGCACAUGUCUACGUGACUUUUCACCUAAUAACUUUUGACAUGAACUCUUCUGUGAUAAACAACUUACAGCUUCCUCUUAUUAUUCUAGAACAUACAGAUUUAGAAAAGGGGAACCUCAGCUCUGAGUUCUGAGAAUAAUGUUGUCAUCUUUGUAUACACACACACACAUACACACAGAACAAUCUUGUAUAAAUAAAGAACGCAGACGGUGACAAAGCGCGAGUCCAUGAGUGUCUCCUGUGUGAGCGCUUCUGUGACCGUCCUCGCGAGUAAAAGAAA
Pelmatolapia mariae (spotted tilapia) is the source of this 3692-nucleotide long non-coding RNA. RefSeq lists it as uncharacterized. The transcript is spliced from 2 exons. The record is from RefSeq and is a predicted model, not a curated record. NCBI's taxonomy places the organism in Eukaryota, Metazoa, Chordata, Actinopteri, Cichliformes, Cichlidae.